This 253-nucleotide ribosomal RNA is filed under the name uncultured bacterium. RNAcentral's name for it is "partial 16S ribosomal RNA". It matches the Rfam family "Bacterial small subunit ribosomal RNA", at positions 524 to 776 of the family's 1533-position model. The record is from RNAcentral.
UACGGGGGGGGCAAGCGUUGUUCGGAAUUACUGGGCGUAAAGGGCCAGUAGGCGGCCAACUAAGUCGGAUGUGAAAUCCCCAGGCUCAACUUGGGAACUGCAUCCGAUACUGGAUGGCUUGAAUUCGGGAGAGGGAUGCAGAAUUCCAGGUGUAGCGGUGAAAUGCGUAGAUAUCUGGAGGAAUACCGGUGGCGAAGGCGGCAUCCUGGACCGACAUUGACGCUGAACGGCGAAAGCUAGGGGAGCGAACAGG